GCCCGGCUAGCAAAACUGGCUAAUGCGCUUCACUUGUAAUGAAGAGACUAUAGGUUCGAAUCCUAUGUUGGGCACCA
RNAcentral lists this transfer RNA (77 nucleotides) under Methanosarcinales archaeon. RNAcentral's name for it is "tRNA-Thr". It matches the Rfam family "tRNA". From Rfam's summary of the family: Transfer RNA (tRNA) molecules are approximately 80 nucleotides in length. Their secondary structure includes four short double-helical elements and three loops (D, anti-codon, and T loops). Lineage: Archaea; Methanobacteriati; Methanobacteriota; Methanomicrobia; Methanosarcinales. The record is from RNAcentral.